Molecule: ribosomal RNA, 835 nt
Filed under: uncultured archaeon
Lineage: Archaea
Description: bacterial SSU rRNA
Rfam family: Archaeal small subunit ribosomal RNA
Source: RNAcentral
UGAUUAAGCCAUGCGAGUCGAACGAGUUUAGGCUCGUGGCGUACGGCUCAGUAACACGUGGAUAAUCUACCCUUAGGACCGGGAUAACCCUGGGAAACUGGGGAUAAUACUGGAUAGGCAAUUUUUCCUGUAAUGGUUUUUUGUUUAAAUGUUUUUUCGCCUAAGGAUGAGUCUGCGGCCGAUUAGGUAGUUGGUUAGGUAAUGGCUUACCAAGCCGUUGAUCGGUACGGGUUGUGAGAGCAAGAGCCCGGAGAUGGAACCUGAGACAAGGUUCCAGGCCCUACGGGGUGCAGCAGGCGCGAAACCUCCGCAAUGUGAGAAAUCGCGACGGGGGGAUCCCAAGUGCCAUUCUUAACGGGAUGGCUUUUCAUUAGUGUAAAGAGCUUUUGGAAUAAGAGCUGGGCAAGACCGGUGCCAGCCGCCGCGGUAACACCGGCAGCUCUAGUGGUAACAAUUUUUAUUGGGCCUAAAGCGUCCGUAGCCGGUUUAAUAAGUCUCUGGUGAAAUCCUGCAGCUUAACUGUGGGAAUUGCUGGAGAUACUAUUAGACUUGAGACCGGGAGAGGUUAGAGGUACUCCCAGAGUAGAGGUGAAAUUCUGUAAUCCUGGGAGGACCGCCUGUUGCGAAGGCGUCUAACUGGAACGGUUCUGACGGUGAGGGACGAAAGUUAGGGGCGCGAACCGGAUUAGAUACCCGGGUAGUCCUAACUGUAAACGAUGCGGACUUGGUGUUGGGGUGGCUUUGAGCUGCUUCAGUGCCGAAGGGAAGCUGUUAAGUCCGCCGCCUGGGAAGUACGGUCGCAAGACUGAAACUUAAAGGAAUCGGCGGGGGAGCA